Molecule: ribosomal RNA, 253 nt
Filed under: uncultured bacterium
Lineage: Bacteria
Description: partial 16S ribosomal RNA
Rfam family: Bacterial small subunit ribosomal RNA
Source: RNAcentral
UACGAAGGGGGCUAGCGUUGUUCGGAAUUACUGGGCGUAAAGCGUGCGCAGGCGGCUUCUCAAGUCAGGGGUGAAAGCCCAGAGCUCAACUCUGGACCUGCCUUUGAGACUGAGAGGCUUGAGUACGGGAGAGGUGAGUGGAAUUCCCAGUGUAGAGGUGAAAUUCGUAGAUAUUGGGAAGAACACCGGUGGCGAAGGCGGCUCACUGGCCCGUAACUGACGCUCAUGCACGACAGCGUGGGGAUCAAACAGG